Molecule: ribosomal RNA, 609 nt
Filed under: uncultured Pseudoalteromonas sp.
Lineage: Bacteria; Pseudomonadati; Pseudomonadota; Gammaproteobacteria; Alteromonadales; Pseudoalteromonadaceae
Also listed under: 1 other name
Description: bacterial SSU rRNA
Rfam family: Bacterial small subunit ribosomal RNA
Source: RNAcentral
UGGGGAAUAUUGCACAAUGGGCGCAAGCCUGAUGCAGCCAUGCCGCGUGUGUGAAGAAGGCCUUCGGGUUGUAAAGCACUUUCAGUCAGGAGGAAAGGUUAGUAGUUAAUACCUGCUAGCUGUGACGUUACUGACAGAAGAAGCACCGGCUAACUCCGUGCCAGCAGCCGCGGUAAUACGGAGGGUGCGAGCGUUAAUCGGAAUUACUGGGCGUAAAGCGUACGCAGGCGGUUUGUUAAGCGAGAUGUGAAAGCCCCGGGCUCAACCUGGGAACUGCAUUUCGAACUGGCAAACUAGAGUGUGAUAGAGGGUGGUAGAAUUUCAGGUGUAGCGGUGAAAUGCGUAGAGAUCUGAAGGAAUACCGAUGGCGAAGGCAGCCACCUGGGUCAACACUGACGCUCAUGUACGAAAGCGUGGGGAGCAAACAGGAUUAGAUACCCUGGUAGUCCACGCCGUAAACGAUGUCUACUAGAAGCUCGGAACUUCGGUUCUGUUUUUCAAAGCUAACGCAUUAAGUAGACCGCCUGGGGAGUACGGCCGCAAGGUUAAAACUCAAAUGAAUUGACGGGGGCCCGCACAAGCGGUGGAGCAUGUGGUUUAAUUCGAUGC